This 497-nucleotide ribosomal RNA is filed under the name uncultured bacterium. RNAcentral's name for it is "partial 16S ribosomal RNA". It matches the Rfam family "Bacterial small subunit ribosomal RNA", at positions 28 to 507 of the family's 1533-position model. The record is from RNAcentral.
GAUGAACGCUGGCGGCGUGCCUAAUACAUGCAAGUCGAGCGAACGGACGAGAAGCUUGCUUCUCUGAUGUUAGCGGCGGACGGGUGAGUAACACGUGGAUAACCUACCUAUAAGACUGGGAUAACUUCGGGAAACUGGAGCUAAUACCGGAUAAUAUUUUGAACCGCAUGGUUCAAAAGUGAAAGACGGUCUUGCUGUCACUUAUAGAUGGAUCCGCGCUGCAUUAGCUAGUUGGUAAGGUAACGGCUUACCAAGGCAACUAUGCAUAGCCGACGUGCGAGGGGGAUCGCCGGCACUGGAGCUGAGACACGGUCCAGACUCCUGCGGGAGGCCGCAGUAGGGAAUCUGACGCAAUGGGCGAAAGUCUGGCGGAGCAGCGGCGCGUGAGUGAUGAAGGUCUUCGGAGCGUGAAACUCUGUUAUGAGUGAAGAACAGAUGUGUAAGUAGCUGUGCACAGCUUGACGGUACCUAGUCAGAAAGCCACGGCUAACUACGUG